GGUCAUAAUGGAUUUGAAUCUUCAUACAUCGUCAGCCCAUUCCAGAUUACUCCUAACAGUUUCCAAUUUGCCAUCAGUUAAAUUCCAAUUUAUCUUCAUGUUAAUAUCAUGUCUUGCAACUGGGAUUAAGCUUCCUUUAAUUAAACUCGAAUAAUGUCUAACUCAAGCUUGGGGUCUCAAUUGACGGUUGUUCUAGGCCCUAUGGCAUUAUUCAUUUCUA
Molecule: long non-coding RNA, 220 nt
Filed under: Elaeis guineensis (African oil palm)
Lineage: Eukaryota; Viridiplantae; Streptophyta; Magnoliopsida; Arecales; Arecaceae
Description: long non-coding RNA (EGUI_LNC019837)
Source: RNAcentral